UCUUACUACAUAGUCCGCCCGGCCGCAGUCGGAGUAUUUCCCCUCAGCCUGUUCUUGGUGCUUUGCCGUAUUGAAAGCCAACAUAGCUUUGCUUUGUCUUCCAAAGAAGCUUCCCUAAUGUGAGCAGGACAGAAUUAAAGGGAAACAUGAAGAGAAGGAGAACCCAGGCUCCUGCGUGGAAAACCGCCCAUGCGUAAUGAGACGACCCGCUCCGCCAUUCUCAAUUCUCCGACGCCGUUGGCUCUGGUAAAAAUGGAUGAAGCAGCUGGUGGAGUACACGGGACCAUUCAGGGUCUGGUCUACAGCUUCUUUUGGAGAAAGACGGUGACGAAGAUCCAGGUUGUGAGGGCAUCGACUAAACAGCUAAACGGUGACAUCUAGUGGUGAUUUCUAGUUUGAGUACUCACGGUGAACGAGUGGGCAGCCUACAAGGGUGAACGAGUACCUGUUCCUACCAACGCCACACUGAACUUGCGCAAUCCAACGUCAUGCGUGCAAUUUAAUGUACAUUCAUGAUCUUAAAAUAAGCCUGAUGCUGGAAACACACAUGCCCUCAGAACUCUUUCACUUUUAAUGUUACAAAAGCAGCAACUGAAGCCCUAACUGGGCUUUAAGCUAAGAAUGUAUUUUAGAUAUUGUUUCCCCCACCAUGUAAAUGUACAAGUGCUGUCUUGAUUUUAAUUUAAUUUAUUUAUUUUAAUUUAUUCACCCUGAAGGAUUUUUUACAAUUCGUUUUUUUUUUCCUUUUUUCAUUUCUAUAGUUUUUUUUUUUUUUAUCAAAAAAGUGGCAGCCCGUUUGCAGAUUCAGGUUUAUUGCGUCAGUUUGAAAACUGUGAAAAAUGCUGUCACAGUAUAUUAUUUUUGAUAGAUAAUUCAUUAUGUUUGGUCUGCAGUGACCUUACAAACCUUCUUUCACACGUUACUUGUAGAAAACUCUUCAAAAUCACUUCAGUGUGUCUGGUAUUAAUGUAAUGGCGAAAGAAAAUGUGAACAUUUAGACAGUUUAGGAAACAGUGUCAAUAAAGAUGCUGUAAACAUUAAAACUGUUACUUGCCGGCAUCUGCACACUCCUGCUCCAGUCUGCACAAGUGAAGCAGUCAGUACAAUACGUCGGAGCAUUAGCUUCAUUGUUAUAUAUCAUAUAUCAGUAACUCCUUUACUUUUAGAUCGUGCAUAAUUGUUUAAAGCAUAUGCAUGUAGACAUGUUGCUGAUGUAGCAAUUACUUGUGAAAUAAAACAAUAUCCAAAACGUGUUGAAUCUGUUUCUUCGAUUUGCCAUCUUUAAAUACGUGCAAUUAAUAGAUGACGUGUGACAAGUUUUUGUAUCAUUUCUUGUUACCUAUUAAAGAAAAAAAAAAAACAUAUUUCUCAGCGAAAAAAACGACGGCCAAAUUGUAGACUACAAACCGAGUAGGGAGGAAAAACGGUAGAAAAGCAAACGAAACCUAAAUGCAAUUAGUUUCUCGAUAAUUCUGAAACCAUCCUACAGGUAGGCCUAUGUUCACAGCAACCCACUGCAACGUUUCUCUUCCUGGAAAAUAUAUUUAUUCGUAUCGAUUCACAAUUUUUCUGCAUGUGCUAAGUAAAUAAACAAAUAACGCUAACGUUAAGAAGGGAUAACUUCAAGGAACAAUGACUUCAGACUAACAAGAAAAGAUAGAAAAGAUAGAAAAGGGGCCUUUAGAAAAUAUAGACGGUAGACAUAUAUUAUAUAUAUCUAAAAAAAAAUAGAGAGAUUUAUAUAGAAGAAAAAAAUGAAAAGAAAAACGCUAUCAAAAGGAUUUCUUUGGCAUUACAAAAUGUUCGAAAUCUCGCGAUGGAUUUAUUUUUUAUUUUUGUAAAACUGUAAUUCGUUUGUUUUUUUCCUCUGUGUGUGUCUGUGUGUGUGUGUGUGUGUGUGUGUGUGUGUGUGCCUGUCUAUAUGGGUAUUCACUAAUGUUAUUACAUUUCCAUUCGAAAAAAGUGAUUCUUCCAGGUAAGCUAUACGGACCUGUACUGCCUGCAGAAAAAUGCACGAACAGUCAGGAAAAUUUCUUCAUCUUUUUGCGUUUUGAUAACAACACAACCCAAUAAUUGUUACAACAAAGUUACGCUAUAUUUUGGGGGUCAGUCAUUGCGAAAUAACUGUUAUAAGAAAAGCUGAAAAAAAUAAAGACUGUCAUGGAUUUUAUAGAAUAAGCUGUCCACUCUUUCUUUGAUUCACACUUUUGAGUUGUUUUGGUUUUUCCCCACUUUUUUAUUGAAGAAAAAGCGAGUAGGACAGGAGUAGGCCUAUACCUUUACCUUGUUUCUUGUCGUGUGGGAGCAUAUGACUGUGAUUGCAUUGUUUAGGAUCUAUGUGCUCUCAUGUUUAAAUGUAGCUUGAUUUACUCCUCAGAAAGACGAUGCCACUGUAAUUGUGAGGCCGACUGUUAAAAAAAACUGUUUAAAAUAUUAAAUAAAUGUUGUUCCUGUUGCUUUUU
Neolamprologus brichardi is the source of this 2462-nucleotide long non-coding RNA. RefSeq lists it as uncharacterized. The record is from RefSeq and is a predicted model, not a curated record. NCBI's taxonomy places the organism in Eukaryota, Metazoa, Chordata, Actinopteri, Cichliformes, Cichlidae.